GCCGAUGUUGCCUAAUGGUCUAUGGCGUCGCUUUCCUACAAUGUUAGGCGAAGGUUGUGGGUUCGAGUCCCAUCAUCGGUU
Molecule: non-coding RNA, 81 nt
Organism: Schizophyllum amplum
Lineage: Eukaryota; Fungi; Basidiomycota; Agaricomycetes; Agaricales; Schizophyllaceae
Source: the annotation of a GenBank genome assembly